AUGUGGUUUAAUUCGAUGCAACGCGAAGAACCUUACCUGGGCUAGAAAACACGUGAAUCUGGCGGAAACGUCGGGGUGCCUUCGGGGAACGCGUGGUUAGGUGCUGCAUGGUUGUCGUCAGCUCGUGUCGUGAGAUGUUGGGUUAAGUCCCGCAACGAGCGCAACCCCUAUUGUUAGUUGCCAUCAUUCAGUUGGGCACUCUAGCGAGACUGCCGGUAAUAAACCGGAGGAAGGUGGGGAUGACGUCAAAUCAUCAUGCCCCUUAUGACCUGGGCUACACACGUGCUACAAUGGUUGGUACAACGAGUUGCGAGUCGGUGACGGCGAGCUAAUCUCUUAAAGCCAAUCUCAGUUCGGAUUGUAGGCUGCAACUCGCCUACAUGAAGUCGGAAUCGCUAGUAAUCGCGGAUCAGCACGCCGCGGUGAAUACGUUCCCGGGCCUU
This 443-nucleotide ribosomal RNA is filed under the name uncultured Streptococcus sp. Its description in RNAcentral is "bacterial SSU rRNA". It matches the Rfam family "Bacterial small subunit ribosomal RNA", at positions 939 to 1382 of the family's 1533-position model. The record is from RNAcentral. Lineage: Bacteria; Bacillati; Bacillota; Bacilli; Lactobacillales; Streptococcaceae.